UACUACGACUUCCAUCAUGCUCCGCGCCGC
This 30-nucleotide non-coding RNA is filed under the name Homo sapiens (human). Lineage: Eukaryota; Metazoa; Chordata; Mammalia; Primates; Hominidae. The record is from RNAcentral.